CGUGACGUUGCAGCAGAGAAUCGGCCUCUGAAAUGAGGACUCCCACCACCGCCUCCUCCAAACGAAGUUGCCCUAUUGGCUACUGAGCCAGGACGGGACGAAAGCGGCCGAACCUGAAACCCAGCAGAGCCGAAAUAGCUGAGCGACCGAACCGGGCAGCCCAUCUCUCUGCAUAUUUGCCAUGUGGGUUUUCACCCCUCCUCACGAUCUCGGCCCAAGUUCCACUGGGUUUUUUUAGGGGGGGGGGAAUACCCGAACACGCACCGAUGACCUUAUAAAGCCACAGGCAGACGAGCCUCUCGAAUCCUGUGCCCCCUCCUCCCGUUUUGACACGAGCAAGGAACACUUCCUCCCCGGGGCACCGCGUGGAAAACGCGCUUCACUUUCUCCAGGUUGAGCAGAUCCUGGAGGCGAGCGAAAGCGGCGGCGGCGCCAACGGGCUCCGGCAGCGCUGAAUCGCCUCCUUCUCCGCGGCUCGCAGGGGAGGAUCCGACCUGCCGCCCGCCCGCUCCCGGGGCAGCCCCGCUGGCAACGCCUUGAACGCUCGGAGGAAAAGACGCGCCUUCAGUUCAGCCCCGCCAAAGGGCUGGAGCCGAAACUUCUUCCCUAAAGAUCUCUCAGAAGUUUGCAGAAAGAACUUGACUGGGCUAAUAUUGGAUCUGCAUAAUUGCCUCCUCUAACAAGCCAGAGGGAAGAUGGCACCCACCUUGCAUCAGGCAUACCGGCGACGCUGGUGGAUGGCCUGUACUGCGGUAGUGGAAAAUCUCUUUUUCUCUGCGGUUUUGCUGGGCUGGGGCUCCUUACUCAUUAUGUUCAAACUUGAAGGCUUCUACUCCCAUAUGUGCACAGGUGAG
This is a non-coding RNA of Notechis scutatus (mainland tiger snake), 854 nucleotides long. The record is from RefSeq and is a predicted model, not a curated record. NCBI's taxonomy places the organism in Eukaryota, Metazoa, Chordata, Lepidosauria, Squamata, Elapidae.